GAUGAACGCUGGCGGCGUGCCUAAUACAUGCCAGUCGAGCGAACAGAUGAGGAGCUUGCUCCUCUGACGUUAGCGGCGGACGGGUGAGUAACACGUGGAUAACCUACCUAUAAGACUGGGAUAACUUCGGGAAACCGGAGCUAAUACCGGAUAAUAUAUUGAACCGCAUGGUUCAAUAGUGAAAGACGGUUUUGCUGCCACUUAUAGAUGGAUCCGCGCCGCAUUAGCUAGUUGGUAAGGUAACGGCUUACCAAGGCAACGAUGCGUAGCCGACCUGAGAGGGUGAUCGGCCACACUGGAACUGAGACACGGUCCAGACUCCGACGGGAGGCAGCAGUAGGGAAUCUUCCGCAAUGGGCGAAAGCCUGACGGAGCAACGCCGCGUGAGUGAUGAAGGUCUUCGGAUCGUAAAACGCUGUUAUUAGGGAAGAACAAAUGUGUAAGUAACUAUGCACGUCUUGACGGUACCUAAGCAGAAAGCCACGGCUAACUACGU
Molecule: ribosomal RNA, 496 nt
Filed under: uncultured bacterium
Lineage: Bacteria
Description: partial 16S ribosomal RNA
Rfam family: Bacterial small subunit ribosomal RNA
Source: RNAcentral